RNAcentral lists this ribosomal RNA (207 nucleotides) under uncultured bacterium. RNAcentral describes it as "partial 16S ribosomal RNA". It matches the Rfam family "Bacterial small subunit ribosomal RNA", at positions 568 to 774 of the family's 1533-position model. The record is from RNAcentral.
CGCGUAGGCGGCCUGAUAAGUCAGAUGUGAAAGUCCACGGCUCAACCGUGGAAGUGCAUUUGAAACUGUCAGGCUUGAGUAUCGGAGGGGAGUGUGGAAUUCCCGGUGUAGAGGUGAAAUUCGUAGAGAUCGGGAGGAACACCGGUGGCGAAGGCGACACUCUGGACGAAUACUGACGCUGAGGCGCGAAAGCGUGGGGAGCAAACA